AAUAGAUACCCAGGUAGUCCACGCCGUAAACGGUGGGCACUAGAUGUGGGGCUCUUUCCAUGAGUUCCGCGUCGCAGCUAACGCAUUAAGUGCCCCGCCUGGGGAGUACGGCCGCAAGGCUAAAACUCAAAGGAAUUGACGGGGGCCCGCACAAGCGGCGGAGCAUGCGGAUUAAUUCGAUGCAACGCGAAGAACCUUACCAAGGCUUGACAUAUACGGUCUAUCCCUAGAGAUAGGGAGUGCUUCGGCGCCGUAUACAGGUGGUGCAUGGUUGUCGUCAGCUCGUGUCGUGAGAUGUUGGGUUAAGUCCCGCAACGAGCGCAACCCUCGUUCUAUGUUGCCAGCACGUGAUGGUGGGGACUCAUAGGAGACUGCCGGGGUCAACUCGGAGGAAGGUGGGGAUGACGUCAAAUCAUCAUGCCCCUUAUGUCUUGGGCUUCACGCAUGCUACAAUGGCCGGUACAAAGGGCUGCGAAUCCGUAAGGUGGAGCGAAUCCCAAAAGCCGGUCUCAGUUCGGAUUG
This 522-nucleotide ribosomal RNA is filed under the name uncultured bacterium. RNAcentral describes it as "bacterial SSU rRNA". It matches the Rfam family "Bacterial small subunit ribosomal RNA", at positions 777 to 1300 of the family's 1533-position model. The record is from RNAcentral.